RNAcentral lists this ribosomal RNA (253 nucleotides) under uncultured bacterium. RNAcentral's name for it is "partial 16S ribosomal RNA". It matches the Rfam family "Bacterial small subunit ribosomal RNA", at positions 524 to 776 of the family's 1533-position model. The record is from RNAcentral.
UACGUAGGGUGCAAGCGUUAAUCGGAAUUACUGGGCGUAAAGCGUGCGCAGGCGGUUUUGUAAGUCUGAUGUGAAAUCCCCGGGCUCAACCUGGGAAUUGCAUUGGAGACUGCAAGGCUUGAAUCUGGCAGAGGGGGGUAGAAUUCCACGUGUAGCAGUGAAAUGCGUAGAGAUGUGGAGGAACACCGAUGGCGAAGGCAGGUCUCUGGGCAUUAACUGACGCUGAGGAGCGAAAGCAUGGGGAGCGAACAGG